GCCCCGCCCCGCCCCGCCCCGCCCCGCCGGGCUGCGCAGGCGCGGCGCGCGCCGCUCCCGCCCUCCGCCUCCAUGGCGCGAGCCGUGGGCGCGCACGUCCCGCGCGUGCGCAGAGCGGGCGCUGAGGGCGCGGGAGGCGCUGAGGGAAAGGCCCCACCGAAAUAAACACCGCUUGUGCCUUUAUUAAUUGCGAAAAACGCCUGUGUUAUGAUUGGCUUUUUCGUAAAUGAUACAGUGAAUGUUAUAUGUGUGAUGUUAGAAAGUUAUGCUGUAUUAAUUCUCUUAAGUAGCGUGUUAAAUAUAGUUUAAGCUUACAACAUAGAAACUCUGCUAUAUAGGAUUUGUUACAAGCUCAAGCAGGAAGAUGAGAUAAUCAAGAAGGGGACCCAUAAAAAGUUAUAGCCUCCUCAUCAGAAAAGACAAACGUUCUUCCACCUUCUCUCUGUUUUUUUGGGACAACCAAGAUUAAGGAGAAGAAGUUGACAAAAACCAGAAAAGUUCUUAAUUUGCAAGGAAUUUAUGCAUCAUGUAUGAGAUAUAUGAAUAUGCAACAGGCAGGAGCUGUGCAGAGCCACAAGGUCCCCCUGAGCCUCCCACCCUCCACCUGCUUUUCAUCUUCUUCUCUUCAUUCUGUUUUGAAGUCGCUUCCAGGUUUAUUUGGAGGCCUAGACUUUUCAGGUGCAAUUUUGUGACUUCAGUCUCAUCUCUCUCACACGUGUAUCUAUAAGUAUUUUGCUUCCCCAAAGUUCUAGAGGAGCCUUUUACACCAUAAAGUCCUCCCAUCAACAGCCACAAGAGUAUAAAUCGUGUUUUUUUCAUUACUGCACUCACUGAAGGAGUUCAGUAACAGCAACAACAUCAGAGUGAAGCCACACAGCCACAACUCCAGUAGUGAGUGUUCUUCAUUUGCUCCCCAUUACAAACGUGAAGAAAUCACUUGUUUCUGUGUCAGAACUAUUUUAAGCUAGAGAAAAAGUUUGUAUGCACAAGUGUCACAAUCAUCCUGUACUGCAGUACCUGUUACAAGUAUUUCUUCUCUUAUAUUCACCUACAUUAAUGUUGGAGGUUUGAAAUCUUUUGUAACACCAACACUUCUCAAUUUGACUGCAGGCCUUGCAUGACUGUAUCAAAUAUCUGACCCUGUGGAAAAUCUGGACAUCUCUGGGAUAGCACUGGGAGAAAAUUAGCUACAUUAGUAGUAAAAAGAAUUGAAUUAACUUGAUAAAACAUCUGUUUACAGGUGGAGGGGCUGCAGAAACAUUUGAGAUUGAAAUCAGAACAAUGAGCUACGUGUGAUUUCGAAUAAAAAACCUGCCCAGUGUUCUGUUCCCCAGAGCCGACAAAACGCCCUUUCCUGAGCCGGACACAUCCUCCCAGCACAAGGGAUCUUCUCCCUGCACACCUCGGCUGAACUUUGCCCGGCAAUAAUCCACCCUGGACACGCUUUUAUAGCGUUUCAUAUUUAGCAAGAACUGAUCGCUGUUGAUUCCGGAGGUUACUUUGAGGGACAGUGACCACACCUCGCUGUGACCCGAAGCCUCAACCUCUUUACAGCAACGUUUGCCUCCUAGUGGAGAGCCCCGGCUCAGAAAAGCGUUAUUUCAACCAGCCAGGACUGUUUUCCUGUUUGCAAAAAGACUGUUAAAAUUUGAGGGUAAAAUUCACUCUGUAAAGAGAUUGAAUUCACAGUUUUUAUUCUCUCAGCUGUAAAACGAACACUGGUUUUAUUCCACCGCUUAUCUUUACAAGCCCAAACCAAGUUAAAUAAGAUGUUUGCUGCAGGCAAACAGCUCCAGACGCCCACAAUCAUUACACAGCAGCCUCACUCCCAAGAAACCUCGAUCCAAGACACUUGUCCUUCCCUUUACAACAGCCAAUUCCACGGGAAGGGCAAAAAGAGGCACAUUUUAUUUAAUAAAAGGAGUGUUUGAUGGGAGCCAGGAUGUUUUAACACCUCUACAGCCCCGAGGGGAAGAGCAGAAGAGCAGCACACAGGAAAUCGCUUCCCAGCUCUGCUGUGCCUGAAGAGGAUGACAAUAAAAUUUUCUAUUAAAAUAUUGGUAUUCCAUCAUCCAUAGCCCUCUCCAGGAGGGGAAAUCCCACAGGUUUCUGCUUGUCAGCACUACCUGAGCUUUUUCAAAUCGGGCCGAUACUAAAAGGAUCUGUAGUUAAGCAAUAAAUGAUCGUGUCCUCCCUGAACAGAGCAGGUGCUGCUGCAUAUCCAGCGUGUUUCCCAGGCAGGGAAGUGACAAAGCCCUUGAGGCACAGGUCUCUCACACCUGGGCAUUGUCAGCUGGAUAAACACCUCACUCUGAGCAGUAAAUAAAUAAAUAAACACCUCACUCUGAGCAGUAACUGGCGGCACGAGUGACACUGCUGUUGUCACACUGUCAAUACAAACCACCUCAGAGGUGGCUGGUGGCAUUUCAGUCCCAUCAGGACAAGAGUGCAGGUAGGAGAAUGCCUUCCCCGUGUUUAGUCUGGCAUUCAGGGACUGGGAACUGCAGAUUUGCACUGGCUUUAACGCUGUGUGACUAGAGUAGCUGAAGGCAGUGACCAGCACCAUCCCACUGGGACAGGAACAGGGACACAGGGACACAGCUCCCCAAGCACUCAUUGAAAAAUACCUGCAAACGCAGAAAAGGGGAGGGGCAGGAAAGAGUAUAAAAAGCAUCCUGACAAAGUGUAUUCUCUGUGUACUUUUAUUAAUAAAAUAUAUGAUUUACAGCA
Taeniopygia guttata (zebra finch) is the source of this 2730-nucleotide non-coding RNA. The record is from RefSeq and is a predicted model, not a curated record. Lineage: Eukaryota; Metazoa; Chordata; Aves; Passeriformes; Estrildidae.